Molecule: ribosomal RNA, 560 nt
Filed under: Flavobacteriales bacterium HD-O-03-16
Lineage: Bacteria; Pseudomonadati; Bacteroidota; Flavobacteriia; Flavobacteriales
Description: bacterial SSU rRNA
Rfam family: Bacterial small subunit ribosomal RNA
Source: RNAcentral
GGGGUAGAAGAAGCUUGCUUCUUUGAGACCGGCGCACGGGUGCGUAACGCGUAUGCAAUCUACCUUUCACAAAGGGAUAGCCCAGAGAAAUUUGGAUUAAUACCUUAUAGUAUAAUUGAAUGGCAUCAUUUAAUUAUUAAAGAUUUAUCGGUGAAAGAUGAGCAUGCGUCCCAUUAGCUAGUUGGUAUGGUAACGGCAUACCAAGGCUACGAUGGGUAGGGGUCCUGAGAGGGAGAUCCCCCACACUGGUACUGAGACACGGACCAGACUCCUACGGGAGGCAGCAGUGAGGAAUAUUGGACAAUGGGCGCAAGCCUGAUCCAGCCAUGCCGCGUGCAGGAUGACGGUCCUAUGGAUUGUAAACUGCUUUUAUACAGGAAGAAACACCUCUACGUGUAGAGACUUGACGGUACUGUAAGAAUAAGGAUCGGCUAACUCCGUGCCAGCAGCCGCGGUAAUACGGAGGAUCCAAGCGUUAUCCGGAAUCAUUGGGUUUAAAGGGUCCGUAGGCGGUCAGAUAAGUCAGUGGUGAAAGCCCAUCGCUCAACGGUGGAACGGCC